AUUUUAAAAUGAUGAUAUUUUCCAUGCACCACUCUUAUGCCCUUGGGCAAAAUGAAGAUUAUGGAGAUGCUGACAAAUU
This is a small nucleolar RNA of Drosophila hydei, 79 nucleotides long. RefSeq annotates it as small nucleolar RNA Me18S-Gm1358. Lineage: Eukaryota; Metazoa; Arthropoda; Insecta; Diptera; Drosophilidae. The transcript has a single exon. The record is from RefSeq and is a predicted model, not a curated record.